RNAcentral lists this ribosomal RNA (539 nucleotides) under uncultured bacterium. Its description in RNAcentral is "bacterial SSU rRNA". It matches the Rfam family "Bacterial small subunit ribosomal RNA", at positions 355 to 895 of the family's 1533-position model. The record is from RNAcentral.
UGAGGAAUAUUGGUCAAUGGGCGAGAGCCUGAACCAGCCAAGUAGCGUGCAGGAUGACGGCCCUAUGGGUUGUAAACUGCUUUUGUAUGGGGAUAAAGUCAAUCACGUGUGAUUGUUUGCAGGUACCAUACGAAUAAGGACCGGCUAAUUCCGUGCCAGCAGCCGCGGUAAUACGGAAGGUUCGGGCGUUAUCCGGAUUUAUUGGGUUUAAAGGGAGCGUAGGCCGGAGAUUAAGUGUGUUGUGAAAUGUAGACGCUCAACGUCUGACUUGCAGCGCAUACUGGUUUCCUUGAGUACGCACAACGUUGGCGGAAUUCGUCGUGUAGCGGUGAAAUGCUUAGAUAUGACGAAGAACUCCGAUUGCGAAGGCAGCUGACGGGAGCGCCACUGACGCUUAAGCUCGAAGGUGCGGGUAUCGAACAGGAUUAGAUACCCUGGUAGUCCGCACAGUAAACGAUGGAUGCCCGCUGUUGGUACCUAGUAUCAGCGGCUAAGCGAAAGCAUUAAGCAUCCCACCUGGGGAGUACGCCGGCNACGGU